Molecule: ribosomal RNA, 547 nt
Filed under: Aonidiella comperei
Lineage: Eukaryota; Metazoa; Arthropoda; Insecta; Hemiptera; Diaspididae
Description: partial large subunit ribosomal RNA
Source: RNAcentral
AUCUGGGCGGCGGAAUUCAGGGUGGCUGGCGUGCUCUCGCGGUGCGUCGGUCGUUUGAUAUUUCCGUCGCCAACUAACCGCAGACGUCGCGACCUGUUCGCGGUCGGUCCCUGCUCGGAGGAGCCGCGUUCGAGCUCGUUGUGUGCGCGUUUCGGCGCGUCACACGGCGAAGGCGCGGAUUUCUGGCUGGCCGUCGGACAGUAUGCUUAACGGUGUCCGGUGUCGUCGUCUCGUACGCGCGGCAUCGGUACCGGUCAGCGACGAAUUCUUCGGGCCUCUUUCCGACCCGUCUUGAAACACGGACCAAGGAGUCUAACAUGCGCGCGAGUCGCGGGGUAUCGAGCGUACUUCGGUGCGUUCGUUAUGUUGCGAAACCCGUACAUGUCGAAGGCGUAAUGAAAGUGAAUGGGGAAGAUGGUGUUCCGAGUACACGUUCCGCGAUCGUCGGUAUCGCGGCCGGGCACCCGCACUCCCGGGGCGUCUCAACGGCCCGUCGUUGAUGCGGACAGUCGUCUUUCGGGGCGGCUGUCGGUCGACGACGAACCGA